This 229-nucleotide ribosomal RNA is filed under the name uncultured bacterium. Its description in RNAcentral is "partial 16S ribosomal RNA". It matches the Rfam family "Bacterial small subunit ribosomal RNA", at positions 524 to 751 of the family's 1533-position model. The record is from RNAcentral.
GACAGAGGGUGCAAACGUUGUUCGGAAUUACUGGGCGUAAAGCGCGUGUAGGCGGCCAUCUAAGUCGGGCGUGAAAUCCCACGGCUCAACCGUGGAAGUGCACUCGAAACUGGAUGGCUAGAGUCCUGGAGAGGAAGGUGGAAUGCUUGGUGUAGAGGUGAAAUUCGUAGAUAUCAAGCGGAACACCGGUGGCGAAGGCGGCCUUCUGGGACAGUGACUGACGCUGAGA